UGUUAAUAAGCGUGGCGCUAACCUCUAAUAUUUUAGUAAUAAUAAUAUGCUACUUUUAUGAUCAUACGUAAGAUAAAACAUGUUUUAUUCAUUGACGGAACUAUGAUUUCUUAAGCUUUAUUCAUUUGUGUAUAUAUAUAUCUUCUAUUAGUGAGUUAGGAUUAAAUCCAGGUUUAUAAUGAACAAUCAAGCAACAGACGAUACACCAUGGUGGUUAAAAUAUUUUACACGGUUUUUGGGUUCAGCCAGUUCUUUGGUAGCCAUUGGUAUAGGUGCCUGGGCAUGUUUCACCAUUACUGCACGUUGCCUUAUGGCUGGGAUUUUGCAAAUGUUGUUGGGAGUUGUGGUUGCUCUUAUUGAAGUUCCAUGCUUUUGUGCUUUUCUUGAUUUUGCCCAAAAUCCCUACAACUAUUUUGAGAAGAGACCAUACUGGCAUAAAGCAUUACUAUAUGUCAUUCUAUCUGCUUUCAUCAUGGUAUUGUGUGGUGAAUUGUCAACAUUUGUUGGUUCUGGACUUGUAUUUGUCACUGGUAGCUUGUAUGGAAUUAUGGCUUUGGGGAAAAAAGCUAGUAAGGAUGAGAUGAUGAUGAAAGCUGCUAGCAUGUCUAGUUUGAUUCCUACCAAAGAACAGCCGCAGGAUGUUGAUGCUGGUCCUAGCUCUGCAGAAAGGUUUCACUGAAUGAAAGCGUAUUCGUAAAACACAGGUUCCGAGAAUCACUUGAACGAAAUCCUUCCCAAUGCAAGAUGGCUUCGAAUACAACAUAGAAAGGAACCCAAGUAUAGAAGUUAUUUCUGUGUUUUGUUGCAAGAACUGUCGCUGUUAAAACAUUACCCAACAAAGGAAAUGUGUAUGACUGCAAAUCCAGAGGGAAAGUAGGGUGGAGUGUGUAUUGAAAAUACUAGAUAUCUAGUUUCCGGUUGUGCUUGCUAACAAUGUAAAAAUUCCUAUCAUGUUAUGUGAACAGCAAGGGGGAAAAAGAAGGGGUUCCUAUAAUAUGACUUGUUGAUUUCGUGCUUACAUAUUUUCAUUCAACAUACGUAAAACGAUUUACGUCAUGAUAAGCAUGGCAAGCUAAAACUGUUAUUAAAAAACAAAUUUGUCAAUCAGUAGGUUGAAUAGAUUCAUAACGUUACUGAAUUACUGUAGAUUUUCUUUGUAUAGAUGAAUGGCGACUUUUCAGUAACAAGUGCAUUUGCCGAAUAAUAACAAAAUAAUUUAUUCUGUUGUUUUCUUAGUGUUUAUUAGAUAAUGUAGUUUAAAGCUGAUCGUUCCUGUGUUAUUUCACGACUGUACAAACAUUUCAAAAGUAUUUUAUUCGAUGUGAAAUUUGAAAUAAAUUUAUAUGAAAUGGUAUUUAUGUUUACGUCAUAUAAUGGUCCUCAUAUCCUGAUUACAAAGUCAUGGUAUGAAAUAUCAGCGUCCAACAUGAGAGAACAUUCCUACUCGAGUUUAGCUGUCACAGUGCAAUGCGCGAUUUUCAAGAGAUCAUAUGUGCUGUGCAGAUGUUUUUUUUUAUUAUCUGGGAUCAAUUUCACAAGAUCACAUUCAUGUGCACACAAGAACAUGCACGAGUUCAAUGAACUUACAUAAUAUAAUCUUAUAUCCAUAGAAAAUUAGGUAAAAAAUAUAAACCAAAAGUAAGUGAACAAGGUAGGCGUGUUUUAUGUUAUCAAAUAUAUUUAGUUUCGACUCAUCUGAACAUUAUUGACAAUACUGCCUUAGUGACAUGAAUUACAAAAUUAUACUAGUAAUGGAAUAAAAAAACUAAUGUAUAAAUGUUGAAUUUGCUUUCAUACAUCAUAUAGUUUUAGCAUUGUUGUUCAGAACAGAAGACUGAAAUAAUCAAACAUUUCUAACACAUAACUCUGAUUAUUGUAAACUGCGUAAUUACCGAUAGUAUAAUUGAAAAAAACUACUAAGUUAGUUGUUGCUAACUCUGAAUAAUUAACAAGAUGUGCAGUUUCUGACUGAUAAAGGUUUGUCAGCAACUUUACUUAAAAUCUCCAGACACCUACCAAAAAUAUAUUCAAUACUGAUUUUUUUAAUGUAAUACUCAGAUCUGAUCUUGCAUCAGAUUCAAUUUAAUUCAUAUU
Molecule: unclassified non-coding RNA, 2094 nt
Filed under: Limulus polyphemus (Atlantic horseshoe crab)
Lineage: Eukaryota; Metazoa; Arthropoda; Merostomata; Xiphosura; Limulidae
Description: calcium channel flower-like, transcript variant X9
Source: RNAcentral